GAAGGGGGCUAGCGUUGCUCGGAAUCACUGGGCGUAAAGGGUGCGUAGGCGGGGUUUUAAGUCAGGGGUGAAAUCCUGGAGCUCAACUCCAGAACUGCCUUUGAUACUGAGGAUCUUGAGUUCGGGAGAGGUGAGUGGAGCUGCGAGUGUAGAGGUGAAAUGCGUAGAUAUCUGGAGGAACACCGGUGGCGAAGGCGGCAUCCUGGACCGGCAUUGACGCUGAGGCGCGAAAGCCAGGGGAGCAAACGGG
Molecule: ribosomal RNA, 250 nt
Filed under: uncultured bacterium
Lineage: Bacteria
Description: partial 16S ribosomal RNA
Rfam family: Bacterial small subunit ribosomal RNA
Source: RNAcentral